This 400-nucleotide ribosomal RNA is filed under the name uncultured bacterium. RNAcentral's name for it is "bacterial SSU rRNA". It matches the Rfam family "Bacterial small subunit ribosomal RNA", at positions 356 to 773 of the family's 1533-position model. The record is from RNAcentral.
GGGGAAUAUUGCGCAAUGGGGGAAACCCUGACGCAGCGACGCCGCGUGAAGGAAGAAGGCCUUCGGGUUGUAAACUUCUUUGAUCGGGGACGAAGAUGACGGUACCCGAGGAACAAGCCACGGCUAACUACGUGCCAGCAGCCGCGGUAAUACGUAGGUGGCAAGCGUUGUCCGGAAUUACUGGGCGUAAAGGGCGUGUAGGCGGGGGGACAAGUCAGAUGUGAAAUACCGCGGCUUAACUGCGGGGGUGCAUCUGAAACUGUUCUUCUUGAGUGUCGGAGAGGAAAGUGGAAUUCCCAGUGUAGCGGUGAAAUGCGUAGAGAUUGGGAGGAACACCAGUGGCGAAGGCGGCUUUCUGGACGAUAACUGACGCUGAGGCGCGAAAGCGUGGGGAGCAAAC